Long non-coding RNA from Piliocolobus tephrosceles (Ugandan red Colobus), 265 nucleotides. RefSeq lists it as uncharacterized. The record is from RefSeq and is a predicted model, not a curated record. The transcript has 3 exons. Lineage: Eukaryota; Metazoa; Chordata; Mammalia; Primates; Cercopithecidae.
CCCGGGCUCAAGCAAUCCUCCUGGUUCAGCCUCCCUGGUAACAGAGACUACAGAAACAACAACAACAAAAAACAAACUUCAUCAAAAUUAAACUUUUGGCUUCAAAGAACAUUAUCAAGAAAGUGAGAUUACAACCCAAGGAAUAUGACACUAUAUUUGCAAAUAAUAUAUCUGGCAGAAACAUCUUGUGAUUACUGAGUAGGAGGAUGGGAGAUUGGGACUGUCAGAAGCCAUCUUAUCAGCCUUAUGGAGAGAGCCUGCAUCC